RNAcentral lists this ribosomal RNA (575 nucleotides) under uncultured rumen bacterium. RNAcentral's name for it is "bacterial SSU rRNA". It matches the Rfam family "Bacterial small subunit ribosomal RNA", at positions 347 to 916 of the family's 1533-position model. The record is from RNAcentral.
GGCAGCAGCUAAGAAUAUUCCGCAAUGGACGAAAGUCUGACGGAGCGACGCCGCGUGGAUGAUGAAGGCCGGAAGGUUGUAAAAUCCUUUUAUGACUGAGGAAUAAGGUGGAUGAGAGAAACGUCCGCUGGUGACUGUAGGUCAUGAAUAAGCAACGGCUAAUUACGUGCCAGCAGCCGCGGUAACACGUAAGUUGCGAGCGUUGUUCGGAAUUAUUGGGCGUAAAGGGCAUGUAGGCGGUUCUGCAAGUCUGGUGUGAAAUGCCGGGGCUCAACCCCGGAACUGCGUUGGAAACUGCGGAACUGGAGUCGCUGAGGGGCAGCCAGAAUUCCAGGUGUAGGGGUGAAAUCUGUAGAUAUCUGGAAGAAUACCAAUGGCGAAGGCAGGCUGCCAGCAGAUGACUGACGCUGAGGUGCGAAGGUGCGGGGAGCAAACAGGAUUAGAUACCCUGGUAGUCCGCACAGUCAACUAUGUACACUGGGUGUCCGUGCAUGAGCAUGGGUGCCGAAGCAAACGCGAUAAGUGUACCGCCUGGGGAGUAUGCCCGCAAGGGUGAAACUCAGAGGAAUUGACGG